UACGAAGGGGGCUAGCGUUGCUCGGAAUCACUGGGCGUAAAGGGUGCGUAGGCGGGUCUUUAAGUCAGGGGUGAAAUCCUGGAGCUCAACUCCAGAACUGCCUUUGAUACUGAAGAUCUUGAGGUCGGGAGAGUGAGUGGAACUGCGAGUGUAGAGGUGAAAUUCGUAGAUAUUCGCAAGAACACCAGUGGCGAAGGCGGCUCACUGGCU
This 210-nucleotide ribosomal RNA is filed under the name uncultured bacterium. Its description in RNAcentral is "partial 16S ribosomal RNA". It matches the Rfam family "Bacterial small subunit ribosomal RNA", at positions 524 to 734 of the family's 1533-position model. The record is from RNAcentral.